RNAcentral lists this ribosomal RNA (501 nucleotides) under uncultured bacterium. RNAcentral's name for it is "bacterial SSU rRNA". It matches the Rfam family "Bacterial small subunit ribosomal RNA", at positions 15 to 518 of the family's 1533-position model. The record is from RNAcentral.
GAUUCUGGCUCAGGAUGAACGCUGGCGGCGUGCCUAAUACAUGCAAGUCGAACGAGACGGAAGGGAGCUUGCUCCUGGAUGUCGAGUGGCGAACGGGUGAGUAACACGUAGGUAACCUACCUUACAGUUUGGGAUACCCGAGGGAAACCUUGGCUAAUACCGGAUAAUUCUUUGGAGGCAUCUCCAGAAGCUAAAAGGGGCCUUUAAAGCCUCGCUGAAAGAUGGACCUGCGGCGCAUUAGCUAGUUGGUGAGAUAACAGCCCACCAAGGCGAGGAUGCGUAGCCGACCUGAGAAGGUGAACGGCCACACUGGAACUGAGACACGGUCCAGACUCCUACGGGAGGCAGCAGUAGGGAGUUUUCGGCAAUGGGGGAAACCCUGACCGAGCCAACGCCGCGUGAGUGAUGAAGGUCUUCGGAUUGUAAACUUCUUUUAUGAGGGACGAAGGAAGUGACGGUACCUCAUGAAUAAGCCACGGCUAACUACGUGCCAGCCGCUGC